This 253-nucleotide ribosomal RNA is filed under the name uncultured bacterium. RNAcentral's name for it is "partial 16S ribosomal RNA". It matches the Rfam family "Bacterial small subunit ribosomal RNA", at positions 524 to 776 of the family's 1533-position model. The record is from RNAcentral.
GACGUAGGGCGCGAGCGUUGUCCGGAUUUACUGGGCGUAAAGCGCACGUAGGCGGACUUGUAAGUAGGGGGUGAAAUCCCCGGGCUCAACCCGGGAACUGCCUUCUAGACUGCAAGCCUGGAGGUCAGGAGAGGCGAGUGGAAUACCGAGUGUAGAGGUGAAAUUCGUAGAUAUUCGGUGGAACACCGGUGGCGAAGGCGGGUCUCUGGGCCGAUACUGACGCUGAGGAGCGAAAGCGUGGGGAGCGAACAGG